CUCUUGAAGAAAUUUUUACAAUAAAAAGAUUUGAUAUGUUUGAUCUCCUACUUACCACCCCAAAAUGAGAUGAAAUCAAUCGAGGUCAUCUUCCUUUACUUCUUGAAAACUAAGUUAGCAUGGCCCAAAGAACAGGAGUGCUAAUGACUCUGAAGUCAGAUGUUAUUUGGAUCAACAGUAUAGAGAGUUACCAUUCAUGCUGGAUUCAAGUUGAAAUUCCUAAGAGCAAUACCAUGCUCAUGUGAGCACAUGUUAUGGAGAAAAGGUGGUUAGAGAUGGGGAACAUAGGCUGUAAAAAUGUUUUAAAAUCAAAUCUAGUUCAGUAUGCAUGCCAGGUUAUGUUUAUAUUCUGUGUCAGGGAUCUCUUAAGAGCAGCUUUCAAUUGUAUAAUGCCUAACACAUAAAGCAUGUGCUUCUGAAUGCCCUUUCUAUAUUGUUUAUAGGGUUAUCCAUCAGCUCUUGCAUCUAUAACAUUUGUGUAGACCAAAGGCAGUGGGACCUACAGUGACAAAAUCUGCCACAUUCAUCCAUGAGGAAUGCCUUUUAGCAGGAUUUUCCUCUUUACACGGACUAUAAAUUUUGCCCCUUCUUUAUUUCUUUUGUUUUUUUCCCGAUCUUGUUUGCACUGAUACUUGUUUUGGUUGCUUUAAUGUGACUAAUGGAUUUAGAGACACUUUAUUUUUCUCUGUAUUGUCAGUAUUUGUUACUGUUUCACCUGAGCUGGAAUCAAAUCUCCAAGCUUAUUUGAUAAAAAUGUUGAGAGGUCCCUGUGCUUAGUUUAGCUAAUGUUCACUUAAAACCAAAGGAUAUUUUUCAUGUGCCUACAGCUAUAAAAAAUUUUGUAGGACAUUUAUGAAAAAUGUAGGACAGGAGAGCUACGUCAGAAACUUAAAAUUUUUUAUGAGCAGUUUGAAAACGGAAUAUGAUUAAAGGCCAAAUGUUUAGCACUCAUAACUCAGAUCCUAACAUAGAAUAUUCAAAGAGAAGCUCAAUUGGAGUUUGAAUAGCAAGGAAGGCUUCAUCAGGGGAUUUCAAUUGUACCACUGUAAUUUAGUAAGAUUUAGAUAGAAGGACAAAGGAAAAAGAUAGAAAAAAAUAGGAGCUAACGUUUGCAAUGGAUCUUUCCACAGUUUAGGGAUUUCUGUUUUGUUUUGUUUACUCACGACUUUUCUUUAUUGGGAUUUAGUUGAUAUUUCUCUUUAUUAAAACAGCGUGCCAGAGAUUGGAUCUACACCAUAACAAGUUUACCUUUUACUUCUAGGCAAAACUCUACAAUUUCUUAUGUCAUUAAAAUGGGUUGCAGAAUUCCAUUUGCCUUCCUAAAAUCUUGUGAUUUUAUUGGGCUCCUAGUGCUGGACGCUGAAACGGUGGGGAUUUGGGUGAAUGGUGGCAAAUCACGGAAUUAAUAUUUCUAAGACUAGCUUUCUUUCAGAAAUGUCAUGUCAUCAUCUCCACUGAGGUGUUGCUGGGAAGAGAUAACAUGGUGGCUGUGGAAACACAGAGAUGGUUUGUUUAUUCAACAAAUCUUAUAUGCCUCCAUUGUGCUCACUACUAUAAUUGACACCGAGAUACUCAGGAUAUGGGUCUUCUCCUUGAGGAACUCACUGUCCAGUCCAACCUCCUAAUUUAUAGCUGAGAAGACCAAUGUCCAGCUGGUAAUGGUACUCAUUCAAGGUGAUCCAGACAAUUGACAGUUGAAUAGACCAUACACUUGUUUGAAUCUUUGGCACCUUCAACGUUAGACCGGACAGUGAGCUCCUCAAGGACAGGCACUCAGCAUGGACACAAUAUGGCCCUUAAUGUUAACCAUCUGCUUUCAUGACCCCAGAGCAAUACUUUUCCACAUCUCUUGCCCUGUGCCUCUAAAAUGAAGGAUGGUGCUUCCAAACGCUCUGUAGAUGUGUUGACAGUGGUGCUGUUGACCUCAGAGAUGAACACUGCUUUGGAGAAUGAGGAGGUCUUGAGCAAUGGAAAGAUUCAGCUCCCUGGUACAUAGUUGCAUAUUUUUAGUUGCGGGUCCUUCUAGUUGUGGCAUGUGGGACACACCUCAACAUGGCUUGCUGAGCGGUACCAUGUCCAUGCCCAGGAUCCAAACCGGCAAAACCCUGGGCUGCCAAAGCAGAGCGGGUGAACUUAUCCAAAGUUCAGUGUUUGUAUUUGGAUCUAUGAUAUUUUAUGUUUGUGUGUGAGUUUCAAGCACUUAUUGCCUUUUAUAAUAAUAUGUUUAACUUUAAGAUUAUAUAAUUAAAAUUAUUCUCCAACUUUAUUGAGUUGUAAUUGACAAAUAAAUGUAUACAUUUAAAGUGUACAAUGUGAUGAUUUGAUAUACAUAUAUGUUGUGAAAUAUUAACUGCUGCCACUUCACAUAGUUAUCUGUUUUUGUAUGUGUGGUGAGAAUGUUUAAGAUCUACUCUCUUAACAAAUUCCAAGUAUAAAAUACGGUAUUAUUAACUAU
Molecule: long non-coding RNA, 2455 nt
Filed under: Equus caballus (horse)
Lineage: Eukaryota; Metazoa; Chordata; Mammalia; Perissodactyla; Equidae
Description: lncRNA (ENSECAG00000053403.1)
Source: RNAcentral